GUUAGGAAUAUUGGACAAUGGGCGCAAGCCUGAUCCAGCCAUGCCGCGUGAGUGAUGAAGGCCUUCGGGUUGUAAAGCUCUUUAGCCGAUGAUUAUAAUGACUGUAGUCGGAAAAUAAGCCCCGGCUAACUUCGUGCCAGCAGCCGCGGUAAUACGAAGGGGGCGAGCGUUAUUCGGAAUCACUGGGCGUAAAGCGUGCGUAGGCGGCUUUGCAAGUUGGGAGUGAAAGCACAGGGCUCAACCCUGGAAUUGCUCUCAAAACUGCAAGGCUCGAAUUCGGGAGAGGAUAGCGGAAUUGUCAGUGUAGCAGUGAAAUGCGUAGAUAUUGACAGGAACACCAGUGGCGUAAGCGGCUAUCUGGACCGAUAUUGACGCUGAGGCACGAAAGCGUGGGGAUCAAACAGGAUUAGAAACCCUGGUAGUCC
RNAcentral lists this ribosomal RNA (425 nucleotides) under uncultured bacterium. Its description in RNAcentral is "partial 16S ribosomal RNA". It matches the Rfam family "Bacterial small subunit ribosomal RNA", at positions 354 to 796 of the family's 1533-position model. The record is from RNAcentral.